This 256-nucleotide ribosomal RNA is filed under the name uncultured bacterium. Its description in RNAcentral is "partial 16S ribosomal RNA". It matches the Rfam family "Bacterial small subunit ribosomal RNA", at positions 521 to 776 of the family's 1533-position model. The record is from RNAcentral.
UAAUACGAAGGGGGCUAGCGUUGUUCGGAUUUACUGGGCGUAAAGCGCACGUAGGCGGACAUUUAAGUCAGGGGUGAAAUCCCGGGGCUCAACCCCGGAACUGCCUUUGAUACUGGAUGUCUCGAGUCCGGAAGAGGUGAGUGGAAUUCCGAGUGUAGAGGUGAAAUUCGUAGAUAUUCGGAGGAACACCAGUGGCGAAGGCGGCUCACUGGUCCGGUACUGACGCUGAGGUGCGAAAGCGUGGGGAGCAAACAGG